RNAcentral lists this ribosomal RNA (301 nucleotides) under uncultured bacterium. RNAcentral's name for it is "partial 16S ribosomal RNA". It matches the Rfam family "Bacterial small subunit ribosomal RNA", at positions 509 to 807 of the family's 1533-position model. The record is from RNAcentral.
CAGUCGCCGCGGGAAUACGUAGGUGGCAAGCGUUGUCUGGAAUUAUUGGGCGUAAAGGGCUCGCAGGCGGUUUCUUAAGUCUGAUGUGAAAGCCCCCGGCUCAACCGGGGAGGGUCAUUGGAAACUGGGAAACUUGAGUGCAGAAGAGGAGAGUGGAAUUCCACGUGUAGCGGUGAAAUGCGUAGAGAUGUGGAGGAACACCAGUGGCGAAGGCGACUCUCUGGUCUGUAACUGACGCUGAGGAGCGAAAGCGUGGGGAGCGAACAGGAUUAGAUACCCCUGUAGUCCCUGUCUCUUAUAC